UGGGGGAUAUUGCACAAUGGGCGAAAGCCUGAUGCAGCGACGCCGCGUGGGGGAUGAAGGCCUUCGGGUUGUAAACUUCUUUUGCUCUGAACAAGGCAUGCUAAUGGGUGUGUUGAGUGUAGGGGUUGAUUAGCGCCGGCUAACUACGUGCCAGCAGUCGCGGUAAUACGUAGGGCGCGAGCGUUGUCCGGAAUUAUUGGGCGUAAAGGGCUUGUAGGUGGCUGGUUGCGUCUGUCGUGAAAGCUCAUGGCUUAACUGUGGGUUUGCGGUGGGUACGGGCUGGCUUGAGUGCAGUAGGGGAGGCUGGAAUUCCUGGUGUAGCGGUGGAAUGCGCAGAUAUCAGGAGGAAUACCGGUGGCGAAGGCGGGUCUCUGGGCUGUUACUGACACUGAGGAGCGAAAGCAUGGGGAGCGAACAGG
Molecule: ribosomal RNA, 419 nt
Filed under: bacterium
Lineage: Bacteria
Description: partial 16S ribosomal RNA
Rfam family: Bacterial small subunit ribosomal RNA
Source: RNAcentral